GAUGAAGAACGUAUCGAAAUGCGAUAAGUAAUGUGAAUUGCAGAAUUCAGUGAAUCAUCGAAUCUUUGAACGCACAUUGCGCCCGCCAGUAUUCUGGCGGGCAUGCCUGUUCGAGCGUCAUUUCAACCAUCAAGCCCCCGGCUUGUGUUGGGGACCUGCGGCUGCCGCAGGCCCUGAAAACCAGUGGCGGGCUCGCUAGUCACUCCGAGCGUAGUAAUACAUCUCGCUCAGGGCGUGCUGCGGGUUCCGGCCGUUAAAAGCCUUAUUUACCCAAGGUUGACCUCGGAUCAGGUAGGAAGACCCGCUGAACUUAAGCAUAUCAAUAAGCGGAGGA
This 334-nucleotide unclassified non-coding RNA is filed under the name soil metagenome. RNAcentral's name for it is "partial contains 5.8S ribosomal RNA, internal transcribed spacer 2, and large subunit ribosomal RNA". The stretch from base 1 to 120 matches the Rfam family "5.8S ribosomal RNA", at positions 35 to 154 of the family's 154-position model. The record is from RNAcentral.